RNAcentral lists this ribosomal RNA (477 nucleotides) under uncultured bacterium. Its description in RNAcentral is "partial 16S ribosomal RNA". It matches the Rfam family "Bacterial small subunit ribosomal RNA", at positions 30 to 507 of the family's 1533-position model. The record is from RNAcentral.
AUGAACGCUGGCGGCGUGCCUAACCCAUGCAAGUCGAACGGAGUCCAGCCUUUAAGACCUUCGGGUCAAAGAGGGGAAGACUGAGUGGCGGACGGGUGAGUAACACGUGGGCAACCUGGCUCAUAGAGGGGGAUAACAGAGAGAAAUUUCUGCUAAUACCGCAUAAGCACACACUGCCGCAUGGCAGAGGGUGAAAAGAGAAUCGCUAUGAGAUGGACCCGCGUCUGAUUAGCCAGUUGGCAGGGUAAGAGCCUACCAAAGCGACGAUCAGUAGCCGAUCUGAGAGGAUGAACGGCCACAUUGGGACUGAGACACGGCCCAAACUCCUACGGGAGGCAGCAGUGGGGGAUAUUGCACAAUGGGGGGAACCCUGAUGCAGCGACGCCGCGUGAGUGAAGAAGUAUUUCGGUAUGUAAAGCUCUAUCAGCAGGGAAGAUAAUGACAGUACCUGAAUAAGAAGCCCCGGCUAACUACGUG